AACGCUGGCGGCAGGCCUAACACAUGCAAGUCGAACGGUAACAGGAAACAGCUUGCUGUUUCGCUGACGAGUGGCGGACGGGUGAGUAAUGUCUGGGAAACUGCCUGAUGGAGGGGGAUAACUACUGGAAACGGUAGCUAAUACCGCAUAACGUCGCAAGACCAAAGAGGGGGACCUUCGGGCCUCUUGCCAUCGGAUGUGCCCAGAUGGGAUUAGCUUGUUGGUGGGGUAACGGCUCACCAAGGCGACGAUCCCUAGCUGGUCUGAGAGGAUGACCAGCCACACUGGAACUGAGACACGGUCCAGACUCCUACGGGAGGCAGCAGUGGGGAAUAUUGCACAAUGGGCGCAAGCCUGAUGCAGCCAUGCCGCGUGUAUGAAGAAGGCCUUCGGGUUGUAAAGUACUUUCAGCGGGGAGGAAGGGAGUAAAGUUAAUACCUUUGCUCAUUGACGUUACCCGCAGAAGAAGCACCGGCUAACUCCGUGCCAGCAGCCGCGGUAAUACGGAGGGUGCAAGCGUUAAUCGGAAUUACUGGGCGUAAAGCGCACGCAGGCGGUUUGUUAAGUCAGAUGUGAAAUCCCCGGGCUCAACCUGGGAACUGCAUCUGAUACUGGCAAGCUUGAGUCUCGUAGAGGGGGGUAGAAUUCCAGGUGUAGCGGUGAAAUGCGUAGAGAUCUGGAGGAAUACCGGUGGCGAAGGCGGCCCCCUGGACGAAGACUGACGCUCAGGUGCGAAAGCGUGGGGAGCAAACAGGAUUAGAUACCCUGGUAGUCCACGCCGUAAACGAUGUCGACUUGGAGGUUGUGCCCUUGAGGCGUGGCUUCCGGAGCUAACGCGUUAAGUCGACCGCCUGGGGAGUACGGCCGCAAGGUUAAAACUCAAAUGAAUUGACGGGGGCCCGCACAAGCGGUGGAGCAUGUGGUUUAAUUCGAUGCAACGCGAAGAACCUUACCUGGUCUUGACAUCCACGGAAGUUUUCAGAGAUGAGAAUGUGCCUUCGGGAACCGUGAGACAGGUGCUGCAUGGCUGUCGUCAGCUCGUGUUGUGAAAUGUUGGGUUAAGUCCCGCAACGAGCGCAACCCUUAUCCUUUGUUGCCAGCGGUCCGGCCGGGAACUCAAAGGAGACUGCCAGUGAUAAACUGGAGGAAGGUGGGGAUGACGUCAAGUCAUCAUGGCCCUUACGACCAGGGCUACACACGUGCUACAAUGGCGCAUACAAAGAGAAGCGACCUCGCGAGAGCAAGCGGACCUCAUAAAGUGCGUCGUAGUCCGGAUUGGAGUCUGCAACUCGACUCCAUGAAGUCGGAAUCGCUAGUAAUCGUGGAUCAGAAUGCCACGGUGAAUACGUUCCCGGGCCUUGUACACACCGCCCGUCACACCAUGGGAGUGGGUUGCAAAAGAAGUAGGUAGCUUAACCUUCGGGAGGGCGCUUACCACUUUGUGACUCAU
RNAcentral lists this ribosomal RNA (1450 nucleotides) under uncultured organism. Its description in RNAcentral is "16S ribosomal RNA". It matches the Rfam family "Bacterial small subunit ribosomal RNA". The record is from RNAcentral.